RNAcentral lists this ribosomal RNA (225 nucleotides) under Triticum aestivum (bread wheat). RNAcentral's name for it is "partial small subunit ribosomal RNA". Lineage: Eukaryota; Viridiplantae; Streptophyta; Magnoliopsida; Poales; Poaceae. The record is from RNAcentral.
AUGGCCAGGGACAAGCUCAGGAGCAAGGAACGGCGGGCGGCUCAGCGGCCUACGCUCACCUGUAUGGGCCAUGGCAGGUUUUGCCUUGUGGACUGCGGUACGCCAGGGAAUGAAGUCUGGUUUACACUGAUGGCUGCAUGCUCAACACCACCACAUUUCGCCUCCGGUACUCUCACAAGGGAGAGCUGCGGAUCGCCGAUCGCGCCACCAAGUCCUGUCAAAUGA